UCGAGGAUAGUCUACAAUGGUCGAAAGAUUGAUAGUGCGACGCCGCGUGAACGAAGAAGCAUUUCGGUGUGUAAAGUUCUUUUCUAUGCGAGCAGGAUGCUGGAGGUAAAUAGUCUCUGGUAUUUGAUAUUAGUAUAGGAAUAAGCCACGGCUAACUCCGUGCCAGCAGCCGCGGUAAUACGGGGGUGGCUAGCGUUAUCCGGAAUUACUGGGCGUAAAGGGUGCGUAGGUGGUUUCUUAAGUCAGAGGUGAAAGGCUACGGCUCAACCGUAGUAAGCCUUUGAAACUGGGAAACUUGAGUGCAGGAGAGGAGAGUGGAAUUCCUAGUGUAGCGGUGAAAUGCGCAGAUAUUAGGAGGAACACCAGUUGCGAAGGCGGCUCUCUGGACUGUAACUGACACUGAGGCACGAAAGCGUGGGGAGCAAACA
RNAcentral lists this ribosomal RNA (428 nucleotides) under uncultured prokaryote. RNAcentral describes it as "bacterial SSU rRNA". It matches the Rfam family "Bacterial small subunit ribosomal RNA", at positions 355 to 774 of the family's 1533-position model. The record is from RNAcentral.